AUCAAUGUUGUUACUUUUACACUUUAUUUUCUAUGCUUUUCCUCUACAACUCUCUUUUAUUUUGGAGAAAUGAAGUGGAUUUCUACUCUUUGAUUGGAGAAAAAAAGUGGAUUUCUAUUUUUUUCAAUCAAAGGGAGUUGUAGGGGAA
Phaseolus vulgaris (common bean) is the source of this 148-nucleotide non-coding RNA. NCBI's taxonomy places the organism in Eukaryota, Viridiplantae, Streptophyta, Magnoliopsida, Fabales, Fabaceae. The record is from Rfam.